UUACGGCCACGUCACGCUGGAGCACCGGUUCCCACAGGAUCACCGAAAUUAAGCAACGUCGAGCCUGGUCAGUACCUAGAUAGUCGACAGCUUGGGAAUAACAGGAGCUGUAAG
Molecule: non-coding RNA, 114 nt
Organism: Acanthosepion pharaonis
Lineage: Eukaryota; Metazoa; Mollusca; Cephalopoda; Sepiida; Sepiidae
Source: the annotation of a GenBank genome assembly